AGAGCGAACGCUGGCGGCAGGCUUAACACAUGCAAGUCGAGCGGGCGUAGCAAUACGUCAGCGGCAGACGGGUGAGUAACGCGUGGGAACAUACCUUUUGGUUCGGAACAACACAGGGAAACUUGUGCUAAUACCGGAUAAGCCCUUACGGGGAAAGAUUUAUCGCCGAAAGAUUGGCCCGCGUCUGAUUAGCUAGUUGGUGAGGUAACGGCUCACCAAGGCGACGAUCAGUAGCUGGUCUGAGAGGAUGAUCAGCCACAUUGGGACUGAGACACGGCCCAAACUCCUACGGGAGGCAGCAGUGGGGAAUAUUGGACAAUGGGCGCAAGCCUGAUCCAGCCAUGCCGCGUGAGUGAUGAAGGCCCUAGGGUUGUAAAGGCUCUUUUGUGCGGGAAGAUAAUGACGGUACCGCAAGAAUAAGCCCGGCUAACUUCGCGCCAGCAGCCGC
Molecule: ribosomal RNA, 448 nt
Filed under: uncultured bacterium
Lineage: Bacteria
Description: SSU rRNA
Rfam family: Bacterial small subunit ribosomal RNA
Source: RNAcentral